GGGUUGUGAGGUUAAGCGACUAAGCGUACACGGUGGAUGCCCUGGCAGUCAGAGGCGAUGAAGGACGUGCUAAUCUGCGAUAAGCGUCGGUAAGGUGAUAUGAACCGUUAUAACCGGCGAUUUCCGAAUGGGGAAACCCAGUGUGUUUCGACACACUAUCAUUAACUGAAUCCAUAGGUUAAUGAGGCGAACCGGGGGAACUGAAACAUCUAAGUACCCCGAGGAAAAGAAAUCAACCGAGAUUCCCCCAGUAGCGGCGAGCGAACGGGGAGGAGCCCAGAGCCUGAAUCAGUGUGUGUGUUAGUGGAAGCGUCUGGAAAGGCGCGCGAUACAGGGUGACAGCCCCGUACACAAAAAUGCACAUGCUGUGAGCUCGAUGAGUAGGGCGGGACACGUGGUAUCCUGUCUGAAUAUGGGGGGACCAUCCUCCAAGGCUAAAUACUCCUGACUGACCGAUAGUGAACCAGUACCGUGAGGGAAAGGCGAAAAGAACCCCGGCGAGGGGAGUGAAAAAGAACCUGAAACCGUGUACGUACAAGCAGUGGGAGCCUCUUUAUGGGGUGACUGCGUACCUUUUGUAUAAUGGGUCAGCGACUUAUAUUCUGUAGCAAGGUUAACCGAAUAGGGGAGCCG
This 633-nucleotide ribosomal RNA is filed under the name Salmonella enterica. Its description in RNAcentral is "partial 23S ribosomal RNA". It matches the Rfam family "Bacterial large subunit ribosomal RNA", at positions 1 to 668 of the family's 2925-position model. Lineage: Bacteria; Pseudomonadati; Pseudomonadota; Gammaproteobacteria; Enterobacterales; Enterobacteriaceae. The record is from RNAcentral.